UCCUUUGUGGCUCAGCUGGUAAAGUACCCACCUGAAAUGUGGGAGACCUGGGUUUGAUCCCUGGGUUGGGAA
Molecule: transfer RNA, 72 nt
Filed under: Bos taurus (domestic cattle)
Lineage: Eukaryota; Metazoa; Chordata; Mammalia; Artiodactyla; Bovidae
Also listed under: 4 other names
Rfam family: tRNA
About the family: Transfer RNA (tRNA) molecules are approximately 80 nucleotides in length.
Source: Rfam by way of RNAcentral